GUCGGACGGCAGCACAGAGAAGCUUGCUUCUUGGGUGGCGAGUGGCGAACGGGUGAGUAACAUAUCGGAACGUACCGAGUAGUGGGGGAUAACUAAUCGAAAGAUUAGCUAAUACCGCAUACGUCUUGAGAGAGAAAGCAGGGGACCUUCGGGCCUUGCGCUAUUCGAGCGGCCGAUAUCUGAUUAGCUAGUUGGUGGGGUAAAGGCCUACCAAGGCGACGAUCAGUAGCGGGUCUGAGAGGAUGAUCCGCCACACUGGGACUGAGACACGGCCCAGACUCCUACGGGAGGCAGCAGUGGGGAAUUUUGGACAAUGGGCGCAAGCCUGAUCCAGCCAUGCCGCGUGUCUGAAGAAGGCCUUCGGGUUGUAAAGGACUUUUGUCAGGGAAGAAAAGGCGACUGCUAAUAUCAGUUGCUGAUGACGGUACCUGAAGAAUAAGCACCGGCUAACUACGUGCCAGCAGCCGCGGUAAUACGUAGGGUGCGAGCGUUAAUCGGAAUUACUGGGCGUAAAGCGAGCGCAGACGGUUACUUAAGCAGGAUGUGAAAUCCCCGGGCUCAACCUGGGAACUGCGUUCUGAACUGGGUAGCUAGAGUGUGUCAGAGGGAGGUAGAAUUCCACGUGUAGCAGUGAAAUGCGUAGAGAUGUGGAGGAAUACCGAUGGCGAAGGCAGCCUCCUGGGAUAACACUGACGUUCAUGCUCGAAAGCGUGGGUAGCAAACAGGAUUAGAUACCCUGGUAGUCCACGCCCUAAACGAUGUCAAUUAGCUGUUGGGCAACUUGAUUGCUUAGUAGCGUAGCUAACGCGUGAAAUUGACCGCCUGGGGAGUACGGUCGCAAGAUUAAAACUCAAAGGAAUUGACGGGGACCCGCACAAGCGGUGG
This 885-nucleotide ribosomal RNA is filed under the name uncultured Neisseria sp. RNAcentral describes it as "bacterial SSU rRNA". It matches the Rfam family "Bacterial small subunit ribosomal RNA", at positions 61 to 935 of the family's 1533-position model. The record is from RNAcentral. Lineage: Bacteria; Pseudomonadati; Pseudomonadota; Betaproteobacteria; Neisseriales; Neisseriaceae.